Molecule: RNA transcript, 1337 nt
Organism: Malus domestica (apple)
Lineage: Eukaryota; Viridiplantae; Streptophyta; Magnoliopsida; Rosales; Rosaceae
Gene name: chaperone protein dnaJ 50-like
Source: RefSeq, a predicted model, not a curated record
AUAUUUUGGUUAUCAAGCGCUCCAACCCUCGGGAAUCCAUUAUCAGAGAAAUCCAGAGCUCCGUCGGAACCAUGGCGCCACCGGCAGCGAUUCGGUGGUUCUCGGUCGUUUUAGCUCUAAUGCUGUGCUAUCUCAUCACUCCGUCAACGGCCAUAUACUGCGACGAGGACGACUGCUACGAUCUCCUCGGGGUUACGCAGAGCGCCAACUCGUCGGAAAUCAAGAAAGCUUACUACAAACUCUCAUUGAAACAUCACCCGGAUAAAAACCCGGAUCCGGAAUCGAAAAAGCUGUUUGUGAAAAUUGCCAAUGCCUAUGAGAUUCUGAAAGACGAGGCGUCGCGGGAGCAGUAUGAUUAUGCCAUUGCACAUCCAGAGGAGGUAUUUUACAAUACUGCUCGCUACUAUCAAGCAUAUUAUGGUCACAAAACGGAUCCUCGUGCUGUCCUGGUUGGCCUUCUUUUGGUUCUUUCCUCAUUUCAGUAUCUGAAUCAGUGGACAAGGUAUAAUCAGGCUGUAGACAUGGUUAAGAAGACCCCUGCUUACAAAAAUAGACUACGGGCUUUGGAACUUGAGCGUAGUGGAGGGACUACAAAUAAGAAAAAGAGCAACAGGCAGAUGAACAAGAAAGUGGAAGAAGAUCUCGGCAGCGAACUGGAGCUGCAGAUUAAUGGAGCGGAGCAACCCUCCAUGUGGGAUCUUCUUGGUGUUCGUUUCAUACUCCUUCCCUACACUAUUGGCAAGUCUGUUGAUUCAGCUAUUAUUAUGGUGUGGCUGUUGGUUCUGGAGAUACAAGGUGAAAAAGGCACCAUAUACAUGGGAUGAUGCCUCCUACCUGACACGAAAAUCCCUUGGUGCGCCUAUUGAUGGAUGGAGAAAUCUAGAUGAAUCAAGAAAGGAAGAUCUUAUUCAUAAACGUUUAUGGGAGAAAGCAAACUUGCAGAGCUACCUUGCGGAUAUGCGCAAAGAAUCCAAGCGGAGAAGAUAGCAAAUUUUGUCGCCAAUGCUACCUUAUGUUCGCAAAAUACUGACAAGAAAAUUAGACCAAAACACGAAAGAGUCGACCUAUAUUUUUGUUGAAAUAGCUGAGUGGCGGAGGCGGAACAUUAAGAUUGUUACUUGCAAAUCGCAACCUUGGCAAAUUGUAUUUUGUAACCUUUAAUACACGAAGUUAUAAGUUAUAUGGAUUAUUGUGUAUAUGAGACUUUGAGGCAAAAGCACUUUUACCUUCUGAAUUCCAUUUGAUGGUCAUUGUAAGAGUUACUGAAAUUCUGUAAUAUCCUUUCAUCAUGGAUACUCAAAUUGACAAUCAAAUAUAGGGAGAGACAAAUUUCAAAA